CGUAACAAGGUUUCCGUAGGUGAACCUGCGGAAGGAUCAUUAUCUAUUCCAUGAGGUGCGGUCGCGGCCCUCGGCGGGAGCAACAGCUACCGUCGGGCGGUAGAGGUAACACUUUCACGCGCCGCAUGUCUGAAUCCUUUUUUUACGAGCACCUUUCGUUCUCCUUCGGCGGGGCAACCUGCCGUUGGAACCUAUCAAAACCUUUUUUUUGCAUCUAGCAUUACCUGUUCUGAUACAAACAAUCGUUACAACUUUCAACAAUGGAUCUCUUGGCUCUGGCAUCGAUGAAGAACGCAGCGAAAUGCGAUAAGUAGUGUGAAUUGCAGAAUUCAGUGAAUCAUCGAAUCUUUGAACGCACAUUGCGCCCCUUGGUAUUCCAUGGGGCAUGCCUGUUCGAGCGUCAUCUACACCCUCAAGCUCUGCUUGGUGUUGGGCGUCUGUCCCGCCUCUGCGCGCGGACUCGCCCCAAAUUCAUUGGCAGCGGUCCUUGCCUCCUCUCGCGCAGCACAUUGCGCUUCUCGAGGUGCGCGGCCCGCGUCCACGAAGCAACAUUACCGUCUUUGACCUCGGAUCAGGUAGGGAUACCCGCUGAACUUAA
RNAcentral lists this ribosomal RNA (598 nucleotides) under Paraconiothyrium brasiliense. RNAcentral describes it as "eukaryotic LSU rRNA". The stretch from base 250 to 403 matches the Rfam family "5.8S ribosomal RNA". Lineage: Eukaryota; Fungi; Ascomycota; Dothideomycetes; Pleosporales; Didymosphaeriaceae. The record is from RNAcentral.